Molecule: long non-coding RNA, 4856 nt
Filed under: Capsicum annuum
Lineage: Eukaryota; Viridiplantae; Streptophyta; Magnoliopsida; Solanales; Solanaceae
Description: long non-coding RNA (CANN_LNC021529)
Source: RNAcentral
UAUCUUCUAUAAAUUUGUCCGAAAAUAUCUAAAGAAAAAGAAAAAUAAUAAAAAGAGGAAAAGGAAAGUGAAUUGUCAAUUGUCAUCUUCAUCUUUGCUGUAAUCUUCCCUCCAAUUCUGAAAAUGGCGAUGUAAGUAGCUUUCUUAUUGUUAAUCAAGCUCAAAUCGAGAAAUGCAUGAUGAAUUUUGGGCAUUUUCAUCUAAGGUGUUAAAAAUCUCACCAACACCAUGAAAUUGUCCCAAUCGAAGACUUCAACUCAUAUAGCUUCCAAUCCGAACUUAUUACAACAAGAUAAGUUUUCUUACUUUUACCCCUAAUUUAUUUCUCAGUUAACAUCAAAUCUCAUCAAUUUCAUCUCUCCGACAGAUUGAGCUUAACUAAAAGUCGAUACCACUGCCUAAGAAGAAACCAUUUAAUGAUUAUUUGACCUUAAUCAGAAACUUGAGCUCCGUAGAUCUUAUUGAGGUAAUUUUGCUUUUAAUUGAAACUACCAUUGUAGUCUGUAGAUGAUAAUUGUUGUUGUUGAUUGUGUCUGAACACAUCUACAUCUUGUGCUAUGAAAUUUGUUAUUCGCAGAUCAUUAACUUUUUCUUGUACCUCGUAACAGAAGCGAACCCAGGAUUUGAAGUCUUUGGGUGCAUCGGUAUUGUCAAUGGCGCGCAUAAGCCUCAAAGCAAGACUCAAAAUGUGUUAAGCACUCGUAUCACUUAAUAUGCAACUUAGGUUCUAAUUUCUAAUAUAUACUGUCCUUGUCAUGAGGUUUUCUUAAAAGACGACUAUUUCACUUUAUCAAAAAAAUAAAAAUUCAUAUAUUUGUCAUAAUCUUGGACUAGACAUAUAUUUAUAUUUUUUUCUCUUUUUGCUUUUUUUUUGGUUAAAUUUCACGUUUUAUUUAUACUUUGUGCUUAAACACAAUAGACCGUGAAGUUUUUUUUACGCUUGUUGCUUUUGAUAAUACUGUGGAGCCCAAUAUUAUCUUAAGACAUUAGAAAAAUUUUCAGUGUCGAUUAAGAAAUAUUAUCAUAUUCAAUUGAUCGUCAAAGAUAUAAACAAUACUGAAAAAAUAAAUAUAUAGAACAAGUAUGAGUUCUAAGCUAAUAGCUUUACUUUCUUAUAAUAUGAGGUUUAUUUUUAAGAUGGUUAGAUAAUUAUUUGUAGUAGCUCAAUGGUCAAAAGGGAUUCACUUCAUGGGAUGGUUGCAGAUUCGAAUCCUCAUUCCAACAUUUUAAUGUUAUAAAUUUAGUAAUAGAAAAAAUAUUAUGCUACCAGGGAUUGGUCGCAUGGACGAAAGCAUUGGCUUUAACCAAUGCAUCAAUGGACGGAAGCAUUGGCUUCAACCAUCUCAUCAAGGUGCACUAGCAUUCAACUUAAUGUAGUAGUAAGCCUUUAAUCUGAAGAUUGAAAAUAAAAGAGAAAAUGUUGCGCGAUCCCGGGAUCGAUCCCUGGUCACGUGGAAGGAUAUGAUGUCUUCAGCCAGCGCGGGAAGGUGUACUAGCAUUCAUUUGGGGUGCAUUAUUAACUAUAUCUCAAUUUCUGAAAGUAUAUACACAUGUAUACAUAUAAUUUUUUUUGACGUUAACAGGUGCACGUGCACCCCCACUAAUAGCUGUGGGUCCGCAUCUGCAAUCACAGAUCUAAAGAUGUUUUGUCUGAGAAUAGAGCUCAGACCAAAGAGAUAUAUAAAUUGGCCAAAUGCUACAUCUAUUUGAUGCUUUAACACUAGUAUUAUAAUAAGAUUAAAGGGUUCAUUACGGAUUAAGUCUAAACAGUAGAAAUUAAUGCAUAUUAACUGGUGGUUGUUUUGUUGCAAAACAAUAGGAAUUGUUCUGAUGUUUCAUCCACCUCUUUUCCAUCCAUUUCAAUCUCAUUGUUCACACUCAUAAGAUUUAUAGGGCUUUAUUUUUUUGUAGAUCCUACGCAUUUGAUUGACACUCAUCAGUUAUUUUUUUCAACUUUUAUAAUCCAUUUUCCUUCAAAAACAAAAAAAGGCCCAAGGAAACCCCAAGCUCAUAAUGACAUUUAUUUACCCUGUGAUUAUAGUGACUUCUCCAGAAGCAGAGGCGAACCCAGGAUUUGAAAUUUAUGGGUUCACCGGUGUUGUCAAUGACGCGUAUAAUCCUCAAAGCAAGACUCAAAAUGUGUUAAGCGCUCGUCUCACUUAAUGUGCAACUUAGGUUCUAAUUUCUAAUACAUACUUGCCCUUGUCAGUUAAUGAGACUUUCUUAAGAGACGACUAUUUCACUUUAUCAAAAACAAAAAAAAUUUCAUAUAUUUGUCAUUCAUGCUUAUAUUAUUAGUCUUAGACUAGACAUAUAUUUAUAUUUUUUCUCUUUUAGCCUUUUUUGGUUAAAUCUCACGUUUUAUUUGUACUUGGUGCUUAAACACAAUAGACCGUGAAGAUUUUUUGUGCUUGUUGCUUUUGAUAAUACUGUGGAGCCCAAUAUUAUCUUAAGAUAUUAGAAAAACUUUCAGUGCCGAUUAAGAAAUAUUAUCAUAUUCAAUUAGUCGUCAAAGAUAUAAACAAUAUUGAAAAAAUAAAUAUAUAGAACAAGUAUGAGUUCUAAGAUAAUAAUUUUACUUUCUUAUAAUAUGAGGUUUAUUUUUAAGAUAGUUGGAUAAUCAUUUGUAGUAGCUCAAUGGUCAAAGGGAAUAAGCCUUUAAUUUGAAGAUUGAAAAUAAAAGAGAAAAUGUUGCACAAUUCAGGGAUCGAUCCCUGUUCGCGUGGAUGGAUGUAAUGUCUUCAGCCAGCGCGGAAAGAUGUACUAGCAUUCAUUUGGGGGUGCACUAUUAACUAUAUCUCAAUUUCUGAAGGUAUAUACACAUGUAUACGUAUAAUUUUUUUCGACGUUAAUGGGUGCACGUCCACCCCCACUAAUAGCUGUGGGUCCGCCUCUGCCUUGUAAGAGACUAAAAACCUUGAUUUGUGUACUGCAUGUUUGAUUGUUGGAUGUCGUAGCAUUGUUGUUGUUUAGACAGGACCAAAAUCCAUAUUUUGCAUCUUUCUAAUUCUUAAACUUGGAAGUUGUUCCUUGUCCAUAUUCAACAAGAUCUUUGCUUUAGUUGAUAAUUGUUGAUAAUUGAAAAAUAAUAAUUGUUAGUACCUGCAAAAGCAAAGACACAGUUAACUAAAAAAUCGGCAAGCUGAUUACCUUGUCUGUAAAUGUGUUGGACCACCACCUUUCUUCCCUUUAUUAGAUUUUGAAUCCUCCUUAUUUCAUUAGAAAUACCCCAUGGAAUCUCCCACUGAUUUGUAACAAAUUUAUGAACAGCCAAAGAAUCAGUUUCGAAGCAUAAAGACAUCAAAUUAUGCUUAAUACAAUAUUCCAAUCUCAAUCGUAAUGCCAAAGCUUCAGCCACUAAAUUGAUUUCAUUAGGAAUUCUUCUAAUUUUAGCAUGAAUUAACUCUCCACUGUGAUUCCUAACACAAAAAGCUUCUAAACUUGGGUCAGGAUUGCCCUUCACAUCAGCAUCGAAAUUACAUUUGUACUGAUUUAUAUUAGGAAAAUUCCACUUCACCACAACACUUCUCAGGGUAGGCCUAUAUUCUGAUAAAAAACUCACUAAAUCCAUCCAAGAAUCUGGUAUGUUUUUAAGCCAAAGAAAUAGACAUUUAGCUAGAUAUACUAGAUUUCUAGUUAUUUCCAACCUCAUACUCUAAAGAGAUCUUUUACUACCAUGUUUAAUACAGUUUCUUCUUUUUCAAAUUUGUCAAAGUAUAAACAUUGGUACAGCUCUGAAAAUAGGCUUCAAUUUAGGUACAUUAGAUGCAUUCCAUCAGUUUAGCACACUGUCUUUAGGAAUGGCAAUAGGGAGGUGUGGUGCGGGUAUUUUCAUAACCCGCGAAUCUGAUAACCGCACCGUACCACAUUUUUUUAAACCCGCAUAAAUUCGCUCCACACAAUACCCGUGCAAACCCGCACCGCACCAUAUUUUUUUAACUCUCAUAUUUAUUGAAAUCAAUUGAUUUUCCUUGUUUCGCAUUUUACUGAUCCAACUGCAGUUAGUAAGUCAAUGUUGUCAAUAUUUUCUUAUACGUGUGUAUAUCUGUCUGUAAUGGUAAAUGUAAUUUAUAGAUAUCGUCAUACUUCAUCAAAAUUUAUAGAUAUAUUCUGAUAUUUAUAUCGUAUUGCUGAAAAGGAACCCAAAUAUACAAAUAUAAUCUUAACUGUAAUGACUAAUGAUACAUCACUGCAUGUUGCUCUAGAGUUUUUUACUAUGUCUUGGUCGUGUGCCUGUAGCUAUAAAUUAGCAACAGAUGUGAUUGUUUUUUACUUUAAACAGAUUGAAAAAAUCAUGUACUCUCUCCGUCUCAUAUUAUGUAAAAAAAUGGCACAUAAAAUGGAACGGAAUAUAUAUAAUUUUAGGUAUAUUCACGUGAAUAAUACUAAUUUUUAGUUUUUUAUAAUUUAAACUUGCAUAUACCCGCAACCCACACCGCACCGCACCAUUUAAAAAAUACUCUUACUUUAACUCGCCCCGUACCCGCACCACACUGCAUAACUUAAAACUCGCACCGCAUAGCUUAAAACCCGCACCGCACCCACACCGCCCCAUUGCCAUCCCUAAUUUUCAUCUUCAUCUUUGCUGUAAUCUUCCCUCCAAUUCAGAAAAUGGCGAUAUAAGUAGCUUUCUUAUUGUUAAUCAAGCUCAAAUUAAGAAAUGCAUGAUGAAUUUUAGGCAUUUUCAUCUAAGGUGUUAAAAAUCUCACUAACACCAUGAAAUUAUCUCAAUCGAAUACUUCAACUCAUAUAGCUUCCAAUCCGAACUUAUUACAACAAGAUAAGUUUUAUUACUUUUACCCCUAAUUUAUUUCUCAGUUAACAUCAAAUUCUCAUCAAUUUCAUCUCUCUGACAG